AUCUUGCCUUUGUUCAGAUUAUGAAACCAUUUCCAUGCAGCAAAUUCAUCCAAAAGUUUGAAUAAGUUUCAUGGUUGGACACUGUUGGCUUCUUUUUCUUCUGGGGUGCAUUUAGGUGCUAUCAAGUGACAGCUGUAAGUAUGAUUGCACUAAGCUGCCGCUGGGAAAUUUGAGGUUUUGAUGGCUGCCCAUGUUAUUUUCAAGAAACUAUUGAUGUAAGAAGCUGUGGUUCUUUUCAUCAGCUUGAACCUGAAACUGUCGCUAUGGAUAACUCAGGUUUUUGUUAUCAACUAUAUCAUCUUUUUCACUAUUUUGAAACUCUUAAGAUUAAACUUUAGUAAAGUUGUUUCAGCUAUUCAAAUGAAAAACUCAUUGAUUUGAGACUUCCUUCAUUAUUGUUUCUAAUUACAAUGCUAACGAUCCAGAUAAAAUAAUAUUUAAUCGGCGAAGGUGUCCCUUGGAAGUACAUCCUUCUUUUUCUUUUAUUAUAUAAAUUCUUGCAAUGAGCUUAGUGAAGCUGUUGUGCUAAUCAUGCCACUGCAUAAUUUGGCCCCUAAUGUGGGUACUCUGUUACAUUGUUCUGCAAAUUCUCCAGAAGUUAAAAUCAAUAAAUUUUCUAUUAGCUCUAGUGCUUUGACCUAAAUGCCAUUCUAUAUUUUGAUUACAAUGUUUUAACCUUUAAAUUAACUACCCCUAGAUGUUGGAUUUUCUAGAACUUCAAAAUGAUUAAUGGAGAAAGAUCCCAUUAUCGUUAUUGCUAUAAGAAAUUGAUUUAUGCAUCCAAAGAUACAUUAUAUAUUUCUGUGUCUCUAUUUGUAGAUGACAUUUAAGCAUCCAUAAACCGUCAGACAGAGGAAGGGGGUUCAGUGCAAAGAUUCUGUUGACCUAGGGUUGACUGCAUAAUGUCACUUGUUCGCAAUCUAUUAUUUAUUUUAUAUUUUGAAGAAUUUAAUGGGUAAUCCUAAUUGUUUGUUUUGGCAGGUAUGUGUUGUUAUCUCCUUCUAUCUAACAGUCGUACCUAAAUAGCAUAGUUUCAUCUGUGUUACCAUGUGAUGUACAUAAUUUCACAUUUGCCUCAGAUUAAGCUUAAUUUCCCACAGAAUAGAGCUGUCGCGACUGGACUUAGGUUGAUGUCCAAAGAGGUAAAUUAUUGGCAUGCCUAGAUAAUUUGGCCAUUUCCUAAUUCAUAAGUCUACAUUAAUUUUGAUUUUGAGUUGACUGAUUUCUUUUCAAGGUCUGCUUCCUUAACGGAGUGACCAAUGUUUUUCAACUAAAUUUAUCAUAUGAUGCAGGAAGCAGGGCAGGAUAUGAAAUGAGAAGCUCAUUGGUGGAAGUAUUGCCAGUAACAGAACCCAAAGAAAAUGAAACUAUUUCAAGGCAGCAGUUGGCAGUUGCAAGUGAAUGGAGGCCCUGACAAAAUUCUCAAGCGGUUGCAAUGCAAUUACGAUCAUCCUCAGCCUCAGGUAAUUUCUUCUCCUGCUCUGUUUUUAUUUGUUAUCUAAUUAAAAAGCAUAAAGUAUCUUGAAUCACUUUCUGUAUCUGGAACAUAUGCAGCAGUUUCUAAAAUCUUCAUAUGAGUGUAAUGAUGGUAAUUUCUGUUUUUUGUCUGUCAUUGAAUGUUAGACAACUUUCAGUGAGACUCUUGAACCGAGACAUUUUUGACAAAUGAAGGACAAUUGCUGAAGAGUGGGAAUGGUGCUAGAUUGGGGAAUAAAGACAAAGGAGGUAAAUUAUUUGCAGUUUAUUCAGCAUUAUUUGCUUUGGACCAGCGCCUGAUUCACAAGUCUCCAUAAUUUGGCUUUUGACCAGUUGUUAAUAAAUUUUUUAUUCCAUUGGUGCUAAAUGUACACGUGAAGCAGGCAGAGCAGGACUGUGGAAAUGAGAAGGUUUUUAGUGAAAGCUUAAACUCAGGUAAUUCUAAAAAGUACAUGUUUUUGCUGAUUUAUCUAAAUCAGGAAAUUUUAUUUCCAUCUGUUACAAGAUAAAACAGAAACAGAACACAAAGAAAAAUAUUCUACUUCUUGUGGCAAUCUUGCCUUCAUUCAGACAAUGAAACCAUUUCCUUUCACCAAUUUCUUCCAAAAGUUUGAAUAAGUUUCAUGGUUGGACAUAGUUAGCUUCUUUUUCUUUUGGUGCAUUUAGGUCCUAUCAAGUGACAGCCAUAAGUAUGAUUGCAUUAUUGGGAAAUUUUAGGUUUUGAUGGCUCCCCACGUUAUUGCCAAGAAAGUCCUCAUGUCAAAAGCUGCGGUUCUUUUCAUCAGCCUGAACCCGAACCUGUCGUUAUGGAUAACUCAGGUUUUUGUCAUCAACUAUAUCAUCUUUUUUACUGUUUUGAAACUCUUAAGAUUAAACUUCAGUAAAGUUGUUUCAGUUAUCCAUGUAAUCAGGCCAAGGAUAUUUAGCAGCUUAUUUAGGCAACUGCCAGAAUUCAGUUUGUUUGCUCGAAACUUGUAUGGUGACAAGGAUACUGGCAAGGAUAGUGAGAUAGUUUUUUGUGUGAGUGAAAUUUGAAAGCUUGGGUGUUCUGGGAUUUGCAAUUGCAAUCAUCCUCUGAGUCAGGUGAUUUCUUCUCCUGCUCUGUCUUGAUUUUCUCUCUAAUUGAAAGCAUAAAGUAUUUCAAUCAAAUUCUGUACCAGGAGUACAUAAAAGUUACUAAUAUUUUAUUUCCAUCUGUUUGCAUUGAUAACUCGGCAUAUGUUCUAGUUAAAGAACAAACAGAAACAGAGUUCAGGAAAAAGUUUCUUCGGCCACCAUAUUUGAAAAUGAAACCAUUUCCAGGAAGCAGUUGGCAGCAAAUUCAUAUGGAGUGUAGACAAUGAUGAGCAAAAAGGUGAUUCGCAAUUUCUUUUUUUUUUAAGUGAAAUUAUUUGUUAGAUUGAAGCUGAUAUUGUAAGAAGGCCAUUGAGCUAACCUAUGUCGUCACUUGCCUAGAUUGCAGGGGGUCAAGACUCAAAAGAAGCACUGAAAUUUAAAAAGCAUGGAAUAGUUCUUUUGCCAUGUGUCAAUUAAUGCAAGUUUGAAUAAGUUUAUUGGCUGAACGAUGUUAGCUUCUUUUCCUUUCGUGCACUUUGGUAUGCUAUCAAGUGACAGCCGUAUGUAUGGCUUGCAUAUAGCUGCUGCUGGGAAAAUUGACGAUUUCAUGGCUGGCCGUGUUAUUGUCUUAAAUUAGUUGUGAUAAGCUGUUGCUUGGAGAUUCUGUUGCCAAGACUUUGCUCACAUCAGAAGCUGUGGAAUCUGAACCCUUCGUUAUGUAUCAUCUUUUUCAUUGUUUUAAAACUCUCAGGAUUAAACUUGAGCGAAUUUGUUCGGUUGUCUAUAUAAUCAUGUAUUGAGUAAACUCUCAGGAUACUGAGGGUGAGAGAAAUUAGAGGGUGUAUAGGGAUUUGGAUUUGUUAGGAAGUUAUCAUUUUUAUUUUUAUUUUUAUUUUUUUCCCAGAAAAUCUUCUGGUGGUGCUAUAUUUUCAAACGACAGUCCGAUUCAAAACUUGAUAUUCCAAUUAUAUUCAUAAGCUUCUACAGUUAUCUUCAAAAAGACAAAUGGAAGGCUUUGAACGGCUUGGGUCUGAGUAUUGUAGUUUGAUUUAUUUUGAUGAAAGUACCUUUUGACAUUGAGAUUCUUUCAUGAGUUAAACAUUCUUUUUAAAACCAACUUAUUAAAAAAAAAAAGUAACUAACAUAUAUUAUUUUGUUAGUGCUUUUUAAAUCAAAUAUAAAAAAGAGAACUGUAAUUCUUAGCAACCAAUUUUUCACUGAGUACACCUACAACAAACUAUUAAAAAAUAAAGUGAUAGAAAAUGCCUGAUUUUUCGUACUUUCUAAUUACUUUUGGUCCUAAAAUAUGGCAAUUUGUGUAAUAAUAAGCCCAUGUAUAUCUUUAUGCCAUUAGUUUGAUAAAUAGCUAUCAAGGAUAACUUAUUAAGCUAAAAAUAUUUGAAGGAUAAAUUGAUUUAUGCAUCCAAAGAUACAUUAUAUAUUUCUGUGUCUCUAUUUAUAGAUGACAUUUAAGCAUCCAUAAACCGUCAGACAGAGGAAGGGGGUUCAGUGCAAAGAUUCUGUUGACCUAGGGUUGACUGCAUAAUGUCACUUGUUCGCAAUCUAUUAUUUAUUUUAUAUUUUGAAGAAUUUAAUGGGUAAUCCUAAUUGUUUGUUUUGGCAGGUAUGUGUUGUUAUCUCCUUCUAUCUAACAGUCGUACCUAAAUAGCAUAGUUUCAUCUGUGUUACCAUGUGAUGUACAUAAUUUCACAUUUGCCUCAGAUUAAGCUUAAUUUCCCACAGAAUAGAGCUGUCGUGACUGGACUUAGGUUGAUGUCCAAAGAGGUAAAUUAUUGGCAUGCCUAGAUAAUUUGGCCAUUUCCUAAUUCAUAAGUCUACAUUAAUUUUGAUUUUGAGUUGACUGAUUUCUUUUCAAGGUCUGCUUCCUUAACGGAGUGACCAAUGUUUUUCAACUAAAUUUAUCAUAUGAUGCAGGAAGCAGGGCAGGAUAUGAAAUGAGAUCUCAUUGGUGGAAGUAUUGCCAGUAGCAGAACCCAAUGAAAAUGAAACUAUUUCAAGGCAGCAGUUGGCAGUUGCAAGUGAAUGGAGGCCCUUGACAAAAUUCUCAAGCGGUUGCAAUGAUGGUAAUUUCUUCUCCUGCUUUGUAUUUAUUUGUUAUCUAAUUAGGAAGCGUGAAGUAUCUUGAAUCAUUUUCUGUAUCUGGAAUAUAUGCAAGAGUUUCUAAAAUUUUGAUAUGAGUGUAAUGAUGGUAAUUUCUGUUUUCUGUCUGUCAUCAAAUGUUAGAAAACUUUCAUUGAGACCCUUGAACCGAGUCAUUUUUGACAAGUGAAGGACAAUUGCUGAAGAGUGGGAAUGGUGCUAGAUUGGGGAAUAAAGACAAAGGAGGUAAAUUAUUUGCAGUUUAUUCAGCAUUAUUUGCUUUGGACCACCGCCUGAUUCACAAGUCUCCAUAAUUUGGCUUUUGACCAGUUAAUAAAUUUUUAAUUCCAUUGGUGCUAAAUGUACACGUGAAGCAGGCAGAGCAGGACUGUGGAAAUGAGAAGGUUUUUAGUGAAAGCUUAAACUCAGGUAAUUCUAAAAAGUACAUGUUUUUGCUGAUUUAUCUAAAUCAGGAAAUUUUAUUUCCAUCUGUUACAAGAUAAAACAGAAACAGAACACAAAGAAAAAUAUUCUACUUCUUGUGGCAAUCUUGCCUUCAUUCAGACAAUGAAACCAUUUCCUUUCACCAAUUUCUUCCAAAAGUUUGAAUAAGUUUCAUGGUUGGACAUAGUUAGCUUCUUUUUCUUUUUGGUGCAUUUAGGUCCUAUCAAGUGACAGCCAUAAGUAUGAUUGCAUUAUUGGGAAAUUUUAGGUUUGGAUGGCUCCCCAUGUUAUUGCCAAGAAAGUCCUCAUGUCAGAAGCUGCGGUUCUUUUCAUCAGCCUGAACCCGAACCUGUCGUUAUGGAUAACUCAGGUUUUUGUCAUCAACUAUAUCAUCUUUUUUACUGUUUUGAAACUCUUAAGAUUAAACUUCAGUAAAGUUGUUUCAGUUAUCCAUGUAAUCAGGCUAAGGAUAUUUAGCAGCUUAUUUAGGCAACUGCCAGAAUUCAGUUUGUUUGCUCGAAACUUGUAUGGUGACAAGGAUACUGGCAAGGAUAGUGAGAUAGUUUUUUGUGUGAGUGAAAUUUGAAAGCUUGGGUGUUCUGGGAUUUGCAAUUGCAAUCAUCCUCUGAGUCAGGUGAUUUCUUCUCCUGCUCUGUCUUGAUUUUCUCUCUAAUUGAAAGCAUAAAGUAUUUCAAUCAAAUUCUGUACCAGGAAUACGUAAAAGUUACUAAUAUUUUAUUUCCAUCUGUUUGCAUUGAUAACUCGGCGGCAUAUGUUCUAGUUAAAGAACAAACAGAAACAGAGUUCAGGAAAAAGUUUCUUCGGCCACCAUAUUUGAAAAUGAAACCAUUUCCAGGAAGCAGUUGGCAGCAAAUUCAUAUGGAGUGUAGACAAUGAUGAGCGAAAAGGUGAUACGCAAUUUCUUUUUUUUUUUUUUUAAGUGAAAUUAUUUGUUAGAUUGAAGCUGAUAUUGUAAGAAGGCCAUUGAGCUAACCUAUGUCGCCACUUGCCUAGAUUGCAGGGGGUCAAGACUCAAAAGAAGCACUGAAAUUUAAAAAAGCAUGCAAUAGUUCUUUUGCCAUGUGUCAAUUAAUGCAAGUUUGAAUAAGUUUAUUGGCUGAACGAUGUUAGCUUCUUUUCCUUUCGUGCACUUUGGUAUGCUAUCAAGUGACAGCCGUAUGUAUGGCUUGCGUAUAGCUGCUGCUGGGAAAAUUGACGAUUUCAUGGCUGGCCGUGUUAUUGUCUUAAAUUAGUUGUGAUAAGCUGUUGCUUGGAGAUUCUGUUGCCAAGACUUUGCUCACAUCAGAAGCUGUGGAAUCUGAACCCUUCGUUAUGUAUCAUCUUUUUCAUUGUUUUAAAACUCUCAGGAUUAAACUUGAGCGAAUUUGUUCGGUUGUCUAUAUAAUCAUGUAUUGAGUAACCUCUCAGGAUACUGAGCAGGCAAAUGUUAUAACUCGGUUUGUUAGCCAAAAACUUGUUGAAGAUUCUUGACAAAGCUGCAUCAAGUGAAUUGUCGGAGCUCUGAGGGUGAGAGAAAUUAGAGGGUGUAUAGGGAUUUGGAUUUGUUAGGAAGUUAUCAUUUUUAUUUUUAUUUUUAUUUUUUUCACAGAAAAUCUUCUGGUGGUGCUAUAUUUUCAAACGACAGUCCGAUUCAAAACUUGAUAUUCCAAUUAUAUUCAUAAGCUUCUACAGUUAUCUUCAAAAAGACAAAUGGAAGGCUUUGAACGGCUUGGGUCUGAGUAUUGUAGUUUGAUUUAUUUUGAUGAAAGUACCUUUUGACAUUGAGAUUCUUUCAUGAGUUAAACAUUCUUUUUAAAACCAACUUAUUAAAAAAAAAAAGUAACUAACAUAUAUUAUUUUGUUAGUGCUUUUUAAAUCAAAUAUAAAAAAGAGAACUGUAAUUCUUAGCAACCAAUUUUUCACUGAGUACACCUACAACAAACUAUUAAAAAAUAAAGUGAUAGAAAAUGCCUGAUUUUUCGUACUUUCUAAUUACUUUUGGUCCUAAAAUAUGGCGAUUUGUGUAAUAAUAAGCCCAUGUAUAUCUUUAUGCCAUUAGUUUGAUAAAUAGCUAUCAAGGAUAACUUAUUAAGCUAAAAAUAUUUGAAGGAUAAAAUGGUAAAACUAAAAGGGUGGAGUAAUAUAGUUAUUUAAGAUUACAUAGUAAGUCAACUAUAUUCGAGGGAUAAAAUAUUAAAACUUGAAUAGUGAUAUUAAAAAUAUCUCAGCUAUUAUACUAUUAAACCAUAUGCCGUAAUAAUAUUUUUUUUCAAACUUUAAAAAAUUCAGGAUUUUAAAUUAAAACAUGGAUUUCUUUAAGAUGCUAUAUGUGUUUUUACAGUAUUGAUAGUGGGAUUAGUGUGGACCUUUAGAUGAAAGAGUUUUAAUCUGAAUCAUUCAUUUAAUAUAAUAGAUAAUUAAAUAAUUAAUUAAAAUAUAUCAGGUAACUUAUAGGUUGCAGGUAAAAAAUUAAUUUUUUAAUUUUAAAUUAAAAUUAAUUUGGAACAAAACCAUCCACACCCCUAAGGUUUACUUAAAUGAUCAUAUAAAUCCCUUUAGUUUCUACAUAGUUAUACAAACCCUCUUAAUUUCAUAAAUUAUUAUUAUACUUUUAAUUAAAACAACCUAAAUGAAUAUAAAUAUAGUAAUAGGAUAGAAAUAAUAAAUAAAUAUCAGAUGAAACAAAUAAAAUAUUACAAUAAAUACAAUUAAUUAAAUAACAUGUAGGAUGAAAAUUUUAUUCAUAUUAAGUUAUUAUUAGUCGAUCUCGAUGGAUUUACUCAAAUUAAUUAAUCCAAAAUUUAAUUUUAAGAUUGAUAUUAAUAUGGACAUAAUUAAAUAAGAUGUUGUAAUAUAUAUUACUUUGAAUGUUAAGUAUAAUUAUCUAAUAUUAUUAGUAUGUGAAAUAGAUUUUAAUAUUAUUAAAAGAAUAUGACAAUAUAUAAUUUUGACAUAAAUUUUUUAGUAUUCAUAAUAUUUUAUAAAUUUUAUCUUAUUUUAUAUAUUAUAUUUUUUAAUUUUAAUGUAUUAUAUAUGAUCAUUUAAGCAAAUUUUGGAGGUGCGGUGGUCUUUUCCCUAUUAAUUUUGUAGCAUAUUUAAAGUGUUAUAUCAUACAUCAUACAUCGCACUUUUGUUAAAGUAUUAUGUUAUUAAAAAUUAAACUUUGCAUUUAUAAUAUACUACCAUUUUAAUGUAAAUGUAACAAAAAAUAUGAAGAUAUUUUUAAGUAGUCAAUUGUAGCUUUCUAUUACAAAAUAGCAGUAUAGAAAUACAAUUGGUAAAAUGUAAUAAAAAUGGUAUGGAAAAAAGUUAGUAGAGGCAAUUAUUUUUGUAGUUGCUAAAACAUAUGAAGUGACACACACACACACACACACACACAUCAAGUACUUGUAUGUUCCCCUAACUUUUAUUAAUAGGAAGGAAAUUAAAUUCGUAAUUUUCCCGGUGAAUUAUGAAUUGAUAAAUGAAAUAUAAAUAUUAGUAAAAAUUAAUUUGUCGACUAAAGAAGUAAACCAUAUUUUAUGGGCAUUUAAUACAUUACUUUAAGGUCAAAUGAGAUAUAUCACAUGAUAUUUGAUACAGUAGUCCAAUUUUCAACAUUUGCAUAUAGUUUCUAAGCUAGUAAUCUAAUAAAAUAUACCAAAUGAGAAAUUCAAGGCUAUUAUUUAUAUUUCACAAUUGGACAAACACCAUACAUUAGAAUAAAAAAAUCUCACAGUACAGACGACAUCUGUUUGCAUGUUUUGAAAAUAGAUUUUGAAAAUAGUUUAAUUACAUGAUAAUUAAAUUAUAUUAUAAAACUAAGAAUAUGAUUUAAGUACUAUUUUAGCAAUUUUGAGUCUCACAUUGAGUAUUCAAGUUAAUUAAAUGUUGAAACUCUUUUCUAUUUGGCUUGAAAUCACUACUUAAUUAAAUUACAAAAAGUCGAUAAUGAAUGAUGUAGGACACAUAUGUAAAAUAAAUUUUAAAGUGUAAUUAAACAUUCCUAUCAAUAUUAGUUUCGUAUACAUGUUCAUAUAUUUUAUUGAAACCAUAUAUAAUUAAAUUUUGUGUAAUUAAGUAAAAUAUAUUAUUCAAGUGAAUUUAUGAGAAUAUUUAAAAUUAUAGGGGUGGUCACUGAAAUUUGCCAAACUUGAGCCAACCGUGCAUGAUCCAAACAAUUUAUUUUAAUAAUUCUCAAUAUGUUAGUCUGUUUGACUGUUGGCAAAAUAAAUUCCUAUCAGCAAUGCAACACAAUUCAAAAUCAUAUCUGCAUACAACGAACAAUAUCUCAUCAAAGAUCAAAUUAUACAUUUUUUACACCAAAGCAUAAAUAUCUAAAUUAUCCCUCUUCAACUCACCAAGCUCAUACCUAACAACAGCAAGAUUAAAUGUCAUUUGAUCCAUCUUUUUUAGUAAGCUUUAUCAAUUCUUCUCAUGGUUGCAAUUUUGAAAGCUCGCUUCGCUAUUUCCAUUUGCUUUUAUGCUUUGUUUGAGCUCCAUCUUUUCUCUCCAUCUACAUUUUACACUGUAAAAAAAAUUUUAAAAAAAUUACAAAGCUUCUUAUACUAGAAUAUGAGCAACAAUAUAAAUAAUAAACAAUAAAGUUAUGAUAGCACAACAUACUCAUUAAAGUGCUUCUUUUUUUUUUUCAACAAGAAAUUACUACUGAAUUAAAGAAUUGGCUUUGCAUUAAGGUUUGCCUUCAAUAACUCAACUCCCCACUUGGGUUUUGUCGUUUUCUUAAAAUCUCUGCUCAAUCAAUUUAAAGAUCCAUUUUUUUUUUCUUUCCAAAGAUCUAAAAGCAAUGUCUUUUAUUGGUACCCAACAAAAAUGCAAGGUCUGUGAGAAGACAGUUUGUCCAGUUGAGCAGUUAUCUGCUGAUGGGGUUGUUUAUCACAAGUCUUGCUUCAAGUGCUAUCACGGCAAAGGCACACUCAAGCUAAGCAAUUACUCAUCCCUGGAAGGUGUUCUUUACUGUAAGCCUCACUUUGAGCAGCUUUUGAAGGAGUCGAGUAACUUCAACCAGAAUUUCCAAUUACCUGCAAAGUCAGCUGAGAAGUUAACUCCUGAGCUGAGAAGGUCGCCUAGCAAAGUUGCCAGCAUGUUCUCUGGGCCCAAUAAAAAUGUGCUUCUUGCAGUAAAACAGUGUGUCCGUGGGAGAAGGUAGCAGUGGAAAACCAAGCCUCUCACAAGACAUGUUUCAAGUGCUCACAUGGUGGUUAUUCCAUUAGCCCGUCAAAUUACGCAGCCCUAGAAGGCAUCUUGUAUUGCAAACAUAAUUUCUCCCAAUUGUUCAAGGAAAAAGGCAGCUACAACCACCUUAUAUCAAAUCUGCUCCCAUGAAGCGUGCUGCAGUCUCUGUUCAAGAAGCUUGAACACGUUAUGUUAUCUUCCAUAAAUCUUAUUUGGCGUGGGUUUUCUCUGGCUUGAGGGUGUGCUUUCUAUUUUGAUCCCUCUUGUUGUUUUUGCGGGGAACUACCAAACCUUCGGUUCCCUCUGCUUCUUUGGAUCAUCUUUGUUUGGACAAAUUUCAUGUAAUUAGAGAUACCGAUUUAUGGGAGGCAUAAUCCCAUGGUCGUAAAUUGACCAUUUUCUGGCAAUGUUCUUUUUAAAAAGAGAUGAGCAGUUGUUUAAAAAAAAAAAAAAUUGCUUGCCUUCAUCAUUGUAUAUUACCAAACUGCUAUGUAUAGCUGCUAACUAUGAGCAUCCGAAAAUAUGGUGCAUCGUGAUUCAUGUAGUGCAAUAUGGCUACCAACGCAUCCUAAAUGGAGUAUUACUCAGUUAGUCAGCAAAAUAAGACAACAUAACUGAUAUUAAAAAAAAAAAAAAACUACAUUAAUAAGUGGGCAAGAUCAUGCCAGUUUAACUUUUCGCGCGUCGCUGCUGGAGAUGAUCAAAUCGGGGCAUAGAAAAGGAGAAUGGAAUCAGAGGCUAAGAUUAAUAAGUGGGCUUCUGCUUGCUUUGCCCUCUUUCUUAAACGAUUGGUAGACUGCUGCUUCCGCCGAUUAACCGGGUCUUCAACCACUGCUUUUACUGCCUGCCAUCUUGUUGUUUGUCGAAGGGAUGAAUUCGAGUCGAAAAGAGAAAGCGCGCUGAAAAAGAUAAAUCACUAGUGGUUAACUGCUGACUCAGCCAAGUGUUGGCUUCACUUGAUUCACCGAUUGAGGUUAUUUUGUCUUCUAUCUAAUGCAGCGAAGAAGCUUUGCUGCUUAACAUGCUGCAAUGCAACUUUAUCCUUUGAAGUUCACACUCCAGGGCUGCGCACUUUAUGUAAUCCUAUGAGUAAAAAGAAUUUGUUUUCAAAUGUGAAAAAAGAAAAUGUAAGGUAGUAACUAAAUAUAUUAUAGCAUCAAAGCAAGAUUUGAUAUGAAUUUAGUACAACAAAGAACAUCAAAUCUGUGAUUCCUUGUCUAAUGUCACCAUCGAGCAACAAAUUUAAAAGCCUACCUAUCAAAUACACGAGGCAAUAAACGGAGAAAAAGUUGAAUUACAAGAACAAGUUUACAAUUCUUGUCAAUGGUUAAUGAUUUGUGAACUGAGAUAUCAUUCAAGAAUCCAAUUUCAAUACAACAACCUAAAAGAUAAACAGAUGAUGAAUUUUAUGAGAUAAAAAAGGAGAUCGUGUUUUAUCGUAUCUCUAUUUUCUUUCUUUUUAAAUUUAUGAGAUAAAGCGGUUGGUCCAGUUACGGUGUUAUGCUAACGGGUUUAAAGGUUCCGAUCCAAUGAGUUAGGGUGGAAUAUGAAUAUAUAAAUUCCAUAGCAUGUAAGGACUAGGAUUUGUUUGUUCAUAUCAAGAAAAAAAAUCUGAAAAUUUGAUGAUCAGAAGAUAAAAACACUUAAACACGUUUAAGUAUCAAUAAAUACUUGCUGCUGUAGUUUGAAAAUAAAAUGAGUUUAUCUUGUUGCUGUUUGAUAAAAAUUUAUACUAUUUUUAUUAAUUUUGUCAAAAUCAAUAUUUAGACAUUAUAUUUACCAAGCAUUAUCAUUUUUUUAAUCUCAUAAUUAAUUAAAAUUUUCAUUUCAUUCAAUACAGUAAUUAAUUAGAAUUGUAGCAUAAGCCCAUUUUAAUUUUCUUUCUUUAGGCUAUAUACGCUACUUAUAAGAAAAACUUAUGGACCAUUGACCUAGGCUUAUACAAUAAGCCAAUUUAGAAAUUGUAGACUCACUCUAUGGAUUACUCAUGAGUUGUGGAUGAUGAGUUCUUCACUAACGAAGUGCAUUGGAUAUCAUAUAACGUAAAAACACACAUUGUCAUUAGUCUAUUGCAAGCAUUCCCAUUUGGCACCGAAUCUUUCUCAUUAGCCUAUUGCAAGCGAUCCCAGCCACUUGGAAUCAAAAUUUAGUGAAUUUACAUAUGUUGUCUCGAAGUGGUGUCUCUUAUGGUUGGGUGUUUUUAUAAAUUUCUUAAUUGCUUCGAAUACCAUGGCUGAUGCAACCGUUUCUACUAUCUUGGAGCAGCUGAUUUCCUUCGCUGCUGAAGAGAUAAAACAACAGGUGAUCGAAGUUGCACCCCUCAUAUUACAAAUGCUUCCAAUGAUUUUAAUUGGUUUUGUUUUUAUCAAAAACAUUAUAUAUUUUUUCUUUAUUUUAUUUAUCUGGUAAUUUUAGAUUUUGAAAUUUGAAUUGAAUUUAAUUAAAAGGUGAUGUAGUAACCACUUAUUUUUAUUUUUUUUUAUUUAUAUUCUCAAUAACUACUCAUAGUUUGGUAACUUACUAUAACUUCCAUAUCUAAGAAAUGAUCCAAACCCACAAUUUUAACUCAAGUUUGUCAAACAGUCAUUAAUUCAAUGUUUAGUAAAAAAAACACUUCUCAGCACAGAAUUCCAUGUCCAUUACUUAGACUCUAUGAAAAAUUUCAUAAUUUUCUUACAUUCUUUGAGUUUGGUAAGUGAUUUCAUAUAUUUUCUAUUCAAUAUAAAUUUUAAUUUGUUUUCUUAUAUACUCUCUUUGCUGAAUUUGUAUCUUUUAUGAUUCUUAGAUUUUGGGCUCUAACUUUUUAGGAUUUGAUAGUCACAUUUUAUGCCAUGCUUAGAUUGAUUUUCAUGAUUUUUACUACCCGUUAAGUGACUUAGAAUUUGACAAAAGUUUGAAAGGAAAUCUGCUUCAGGAUUCUGUUUUAAUUGACCCUUUAGUGGAAAUAAAAUGCUUAUAACUUAAUGUGGAUGCUAUGUAAAAUCAUGAAAUUUGGAUAGAAUUAACUAGAAAUAUGUACAAGACUCUCCAUGAAGUCUCAUAAUUUUUCAUUCGGUCUGGGGUGUUACAGGUGAAGCUUGUGGUUGGUGUCGAAAAAGAAGUGAAAAGCCUUACCAGCCACCUUCAAGCCAUUCAAGCUGUGCUCGAUGAUGCAGAGGAAAAGCAAGUGAAGGACAAAGCUGUUAGACAUUGGCUGGGUAGGCUCAAGUAUGCAUCCUACGACAUUGAAGAUGUGUUGGAUGAGUGGAUCACAGGAAGACGCAAAUUGCAAAUUGAGGGUGGCAUUGGUGAAAAUGCUCUUAUUGCUCCUCAUAAGAAAAAGAAGGUACGUUUCUGCUUUCGUGCCUCUUGUCUUGGAUUCAAAACAGAAGAAUUUGGCUUCAAACAAGUCUUUCUACGUCAUGACAUUGCCAACAAGAUCAAAGAAAUGAAUGAAGAGCUACAUGAUAUUGCUACUCAAAAAGACAUGUUUAAUCUUGUUAAGAGUGGCAAUAACAGUAGUGAAAGACCAAGGCGUGUACAGAGUACCUCCUUGAUUGAUGAGGAAGAGAUUUGUGGUAGAGUUGGUGAGAAGAAUGAACUCAUAAGCAAGCUGUUGUGUGAGAGUAGCGAGCAACAAAAAGGCCUCCAUAUCAUCUCAAUUGUUGGUAUGGGAGGCAUAGGGAAAACUACUCUUGCACAACUAGCUUGUAAUCAUGACGAGGUGAAGAGAAAGUUCGACAAAAUUCUGUGGGUGUGUGUAUCAGAAACUUUUGAGGAGUUUAGGGUUGCCAAAGCAAUCGUUGAAGCUUUGGAUGGUCGUGAAUCUCAUUUAGGUGAAUUCCAAUCUCUUCUUCAACAUAUUGAUGAAUCCAUUGCAGGGAAGACCUUUCUUCUUGUCUUAGAUGACGUGUGGGAUGGAAAUUACUUGAAAUGGGAACCAUUCUACCGUUGUCUAAAGAAUGGUCUCCAUGGAAGUAAAAUUAUAGUUACCACACGUAGUGGGUCCGUUGCAUCCAUGAUGGGAUCCAUAGAUAUUAUUCCCAUUAAGGAAUUAGCUGAAGAGGAAUGUUGGUUGUUGUUUAACAAGAUAGCAUUUUUUGGUAGGCCUAUUGAGGAACGUGAAAAAUUAGAACAAAUUGGGCAAAGAAUUGCAGGCAAGUGCAAAGGUUUACCUCUUGCAGCAAAGACAAUAGGGAGUCUCAUGCGUUCUAAACAAACUGAAGAAGAGUGGAAAAGAAUUUUAAAUAGUGAUUUAUGGAAAGUAGAAGAGAUUGAGAAAGAUGUUUUGUCCUCUUUAUUGUUGAGUUAUAAUGAUUUGCCAUCUAGAGUAAAAAGAUGUUUUUCAUAUUGUGCUGUCUUUCCAAAAGACUACAAUAUAAAAAAAGACGAACUAAUCACAUUAUGGAUGGCUCAAGGUUAUCUUAGUGCAGAAGCAGCAGAACAAGAUGAGGAGUUGGAGACUAUAGGUGAAGAGUAUUUUGGCAUCUUAGCUUCUCGCUCUUUCUUUCAAGAGUUUGAGAAAAGUUAUGAUAAUCGUAUUAUAGAGUGCAAGAUGCAUGAUAUGGUACAUGAUUUUGCCCGCUUUGUAAGUCAAAAUGAAUGUUUUUCGAUGGCAAUUAAUGGUAGUGAAGAACCAAACGCCACAAACGCUCUUGAUGAGAAGGUCCGUCAUUUAAUGUUAAUAUUUAGUAAAGCGGCUUCAUUACCUAUUUCCACUCUUAGAGUUAAAAGAAUGCGUACCCUCUUAAUUAACGAUCAUUCAUUAUUAAAUGCUGCGAUCCUAGAAGAAUUAUUUAGGGAAUUGACAAGUUUAAGGGCAUUAGAUUUUGGCGGAUCGUACCACUCAACGCGGUUGUUGACUCCGGAGGUUCCGAGAAACAUAGAAAAGCUGGUACUACCGGAGACAUUGUGUGAGUUAUAUAAUCUAGAAAAGUUAGAUAUUAGUGAUUGUUUUAAUCUUAAAGAAUUACCUGAAGGGAUUGGGAAGUUAAUAAACGUGAAGCAUUUACUAAAUAGAGGUACUAAUUCUUUAAGGUACAUGCCAGUAGGGAUUGGGAGAUUAACAGGUCUUAGGACCUUGGGUGAGUUCCACGUGAGUGCAGGAGGAGGUGUUGAUGGUAGGAAAGCAUGUAGGCUUGAAUCUCUUAAAAACUUGGAACACCUUCAAGUAUGUGGUAUAAGUAGACUGGGUGAUGUAUCAGAUGUGGGCGAGGCUAAGCGAUUAGAACUUGACAAAAAGAAAUACCUCUCCAGUUUGACCCUUUGGUUUGAUAAGGAGGAGGAAGAAGAAGGAGAAAGAAGGAAGAACGAGGACAAUCAACUUCUUCUUGAAGCCCUGCGACCACCUCUCAAUUUAAAGGAAUUAGAGAUUGAGUACUACCGAGGCAACACUGUUUUCCCCAGCUGGAUGACGUCAUUAACCAACUUGAAGAGUUUAGAUCUCUCUUCCUGCGAAAAUUGCGAGCAGCUGCCUCCUUUGGGAAAAUUGCAGUCCCUUGAAAAUCUCCACAUAUGGCGCAUGGAGAGUGUGAAGAGAGUGGGUGAUGAAUUUUUGGGGAUAGAAAGUGAUCAUCAUGGCUCAUCUUCAUCUUCAUCGGUUAUUAUUGCCUUCCCCAAAUUGAAAUCACUUUCAAUUGAGGUUCUGCGCGAAUUGGAGGAGUGGGAUUAUGGGAUUACAAGAACGGGAAACACCGUCAUCAACAUCAUGCCACGUCUUUCUUCAUUGACAAUUAAUUACUGCUCCAAAUUAAAGGCACUGCCCGACCACUUUCAUCAAACGACAACAUUGAAGGAAUUGCACAUUUGGAAGUGCAGGCUUCUGGAAGAACGUUAUUGCAAUGGGGAAGGAGAAGACUGGUCUAAGAUAUCACACAUUCCCAACCUCCAUAUUGGGCUUUGACAAGUAAUUUCUUCUCUUACUCUGAUUUGCUUUGUUGUUGUUUUUAAUCUAAUUAAGAAGCGUAAAUAGCAUUUUGAAUCAAACUCUAUAUCAGAAAUCUGCAAUACUUACUUUCUAAUAUUCUGAUUUUCAUAUCCUAUGAAUAUACGAUUUUUAAUUUGUGAGAUGGGUAACGUUACUGUAAAAGAUUAUUAAUGCAAUAUGAGUAAUUCUUUUGCAGGACAAGUGACCUACAUUUAGUUUGGCUUUGGAGUUGAAUAAUAACCUUUCGAGGUCCCGACAACCAAAAAACGAAGCUUAAUUUGCCACAGAUUGCACGUAUUGCCAUUAUUGACAAUUUUCUGCACAAGCGUGACUGAACUUAGGUUGAUGUCAAAAGAGGUAAAUUAUUGGCAUGCCUGACUAUUUUGACCAUUACAUGAUUCAUAAGUUUACAUUAAUUUUGAUUUUGAGUUGAGUGAUUAAUUUUCUAUGUUUGCUUACUUUAACUGGGUGACCAAUUUCUUGUAACUAAAUGUAUGAUGUGAUGCAGGAAGCAGGGCAGGAUAUGAAAAGAGAAGCUUAUUAGAGGAAGGAUUGCCAGUAACAGAAUCCAAAGAAAAAGAAACCAUUUCGAGGCAGCAGUUGGCAGUUGGCAGUGAAUGGAGCCCCUUGAAAAAGUUCCCAAGCCGUUGCACUGCAAUUACGAUCAUCCUCGGCCUCAGGUAAUUUCUUCUCCUGCAUUUUUGUUAUUUGCUAUCAAGUGACUAUUUUAAGUAUGAUUGCAUUAAGCUGCUACUGGGAAAUUUGAGGUUUUGAGGACUGCCCAUGCUAUUGUCAGAAGCUGCGGUUCUUUUCAUCAGCCUGAACCUGGACCUGCCGCUAUGGAUAACUCAGGUUUUUUUUUUUUUUAAUCAACUGCCAUCUUUUCCACUGUUUAGAAACUCUUAAGAUUAAACUUUAGUAAAGAUGUUUUAGUUAUCCAUGUAAUCAGGCUGAGGAUACUUAGCUGCCUAUUUAGGCAAAUGUCAGAAUUUAGUUUGUUCGCUGGGAACUGGUGUGGACUGGCAAAGGAUGAUGAGAUAGUUUUUUGAGUGAGUAAAUUUUGGGAGCUUGAGUGUAUUGGGAUUUGCAAUUACAAUCAUCCUCUGCCUCAGGUGAUUUCUUCUCCUGCUCUGUCAUUGUUUGUUCUCUAAUUCAAAAGCAUAAAAUAUUUCAAUCAAUUUUUAUACCAGGAAUAUGCAAAAGUUUCUAAUAUUUUAUUUCCAUCUGUUACAAGAUCAAACUGAAGCAGAACUCAAUCAAAAGUAUGCUGCUUCUUGCGGAAAUCUUGCCUUUGUUCAGAUUAUGAAACCAUUUCCAUGCAGCAAAUUCAUCCAAAAAUUUGAAUAAGUUUCACGGUUGGACACUGUUGGCUUCUUUUUCUUCCGGGGUGCAUUUAGGUGCUAUCAAGUGACAGCUGUAAGUAUGAUUGCACUAAGCUGCCGCUGGGAAAUUUGAGGUUUUGAUGGCUGCCCAUGUUAUUUUCAAUAAACUAUUGAUGUAAGAAGCUGUGGUUCUUUUCAUCAGCUUGAACCUGAAACUGUCGCUAUGGAUAACUCAGGUUUUUGUUAUCAACUAUAUCAUCUUUUUCACUAUUUUGAAACUCUUAAGAUUAAACUUUAGUAAAGUUGUUUCAGCUAUUCAAAUGAAAAACUCAUUGAUUUGAGACUUCCUUCAUUAUUGUUUCUAAUUACAAUGCUAACGAUCCAGAUAAAAUAAUAUUUAAUCAACGAAGGUGUUGAUUGAUUUGAGACUUCCUUCAUUAAUGUAGACUUCCUUCAUUAUUGUUUCUUUUUCUUUUAUUCUAUAAAAUCUUGCAAUGAGCUUAGUGAAGCUGUUGUGCUAAUCAUGCCACUGCAUAAUUUGGCCCCUAAUGUGAGUACUCUGUUACAUUGUUCUGCAAAUUCUCCAGAAGUUAAAAUCAAUAAAUUUUCUAUUAGCUCUAGUGCUUUGACCUAAAUGCUAUUCUAUAUUCUGAUUACAAUGUUUUAACCUUUAAAUUAACUACCCCUAGAUGUUGGAUUUUCUAGAACUUCAAAAUGAUUAAUGGAGAAAGAUCCCAUUAUCGUUAUUGCUAUAAGAAAUUGAUUUAUGCAUCCAAAGAUACAUUAUAUGUUUCUGUGUCUCUAUUUAUAGAUGACACCUAAGCAUCCCAUUAUCUAUUAUUUAUUUUAUAUUUUGAAGAAUUUAAUGGGUAAUCCUAAUUGUUUGUUUAGGCAGGUAUGUGUUGUUAUCUCCUUCUAUCUUACAGUCGUACCUAAAUAGCAUAGUUUCAUCUGUGUUACCAUGUGAUGUACAUAAUUUCACAUUUGCCUCAGAUUAAGCUUAAUUUCCCACAGAAUAGAGCUGCCGCGACUGGACUUAGGUUGAUGUCCAAAGAGGUAAAUUAUUGGCAUGCCUAGAUAAUUUGGCCAUUUCCUAAUUCAUAAGUCUACAUUAAUUUUGAUUUUGAGUUGACUGAUUUCUUUUCAAGGUCUGCUUCCUUAACAGAGUGACCAAUGUUUUUCAACUAAAUUUAUCAUAUGAUGCAGGAAGCAAGGCAGGAUAUGAAAUGAGAAGCUCAUUGGUGGAAGUAUUGCCAGUAAGAGAACCCAAAGAAAAUGAAUCUAUUUCAAGGCAGCAGUUGGCAGUUGCAAGUGAAUGGAGGCCCUUGACAAAAUUCUCAAGCGGUUGCAAUGCAAUUACGAUCAUCCUCAGCCUCAGGUAAUUUCUUCUCCUGCUCUGUUUUUAUUUGUUAUCUAAUUAAGAAGCAUAAAGUAUCUUGAAUCACUUUAUGUAUCUGGAAUAUAUGCAGCAGUUUCUAAAAUUUUGAUAUGAGUGUAAUGAUGGUAAUUUCUGUUUUUUGUCUGUCAUUGAAUGUUAGACAACUUUCAGUGAGACUCUUGAACCGAGACAUUUUGGACAAAUGAAGGACAAGUGCUGAAGAGUGGGAAUGGUGCUAGAUUGGGGAAUAAAGACAAAGGUGGUAAAUUAUUUGCAGUUUAUUCAGCAUUAUUUGCUUUCGACCAGCGCCUGAUUCACAAGUCUACAUAAUUUGGCUUUUGACCAGUUGUUAAUAAAUUUUUAAUUCCAUUGGUGCUAAAUGUACACGUGAAGCAGGCAGAGCAGGACUGUGGAAAUGAGAAGCUUUUUAGGGAAAGCUUAAACUCAGGUAAUUCUAAAAAUUAAUUCUGAUUGUUCCGAUUUAUCUAAAUCAGGAAAUUUUAUUUCCAUCUGUUACAAUAAAACAGAAACAGAACACAGAGAAAAAUAUUCUACUUCUUGUGGCAAUCUUGCCUUCAUUCAGACUAUGAAACCAUUUCCUUUCACCAAUUUCUUCCGAAAGUUUGAACACGUUUCAUGGUUGGACAUAGUUAGCUUCUUUUUCUUUUGGUGCAUUUAGGUGCUAUCAAGUGACAACCAUAAGUAUGAUUGCAUUAUUGGGAAAUUUUAGGUUUUGAUGGCUCCCCAUGUUAUUGCCAAGAAAUUUUAAGUCCUCAUGUCAGAAGCUGCGUUUCUUUUCAUCAGACUGAACCCGAACCUGUCACUAUGGAUAACUGAGGUUUUUGUCAUCAACUCUAUCAUGUUUUUCACUGUUUUGAAACUCUUAAGAUUAAACUUCAGUAAAGUUGUUUCAGUUACCCAUGUAAUCAGGCUAAGGAUAUUUAGCAGCUUAUUUAGGCAACUGCCAGAAUUCAGUUUGUUCGCUCGAAACUUGUAUGGUGACAAGGAUACUGGCAAGGAUAGUGAGAUAGUUUUUUGUGUGAGUGAAAUUUGAAAGCUUGGGUGUUCUGGGAUUUGCAAUUGCAAUCAUCCUCUGCUUUAGGUGAUUUCUUCUCCUGUUCUGUCUUUAUUUUCUCUCUAAUUGAAAGCAUAAAGUAUUUCAAUCAAAUUCUGUACCAGGAAUACGAAAAAUUUACUAAUAUUUUAUUUCCAUCUGUUUGCAUUGAUAACUUGGCCGCAUAUGUACUAGUUAAAGAACAAACAGAAGCAGAGUUCAGGAAAAAGUUUCUUCGGCCACCAUAUUUGAAAAUGAAACCAUUUCCAGGAAGCAGUUGGCAGCAAAUUCAUACAAAGUAUAGACAAUGAUGAGCAAAAAGGUGAUUUGCAAUUUCAUUUUUUUAAAAUGAAAUUAUUUGUUAAGUUGGAGCUGAUAUUGUUAGAAGGCCACUGAGCUAACCUAUGACACUGCUUGCCUAGAUUGCAGGAGGUCAAGACUCAAAAGAUGCACUGAAUUUUAAAAGGCAUGCAAUAAUUCUUAUGGCCAUUUGUCAAUGGUGGAAGGCUUUUAGCUUCUUUUCCUUUCGUGCAUUUUGGGGUUCUAUCAAGCGACAGCCGUAUGUAUGGAUGGAUAUAGCUGAAGGACAACAUUUGUCCAUGAGGUUCCUAAAAUCGCAACUUUUGUGCAGUAAAAUUAAAACGGACGGCGGAAGCUCUAGAAACCUCGGAUCGGCUUCAUUCAAAAACUAAAAUCAAGAGGAAAGAUUGAAGUUUAAUUACCUCACUUGCAGUUUCGAAAAAGACUUCUUGAGGUAGGAGAAAACGACUGAAAACAGCAAGCUACGAACACUGUCCAGAAAAUACAGCUCUGCACGAACAGCUUCUGUUUUGCCACGAUCUGAGAUCCUUAAGCACCCCAAUUGUGAUGCCUCUAAUUAUUCCACACUUAUAAAUGUUCUAGGAGUUCAGAGGAUUUUGAAUCACGAAAUUUCGUUUAGAAAUGAGAGAGAUAAUGAUGAAACAUGAAUGCUAGUUCAUGAUGAUUCCCCUUCCACCAAAUAAAGCACCAUUAUGUCUAAUAAUGGCACCAAACAUUAUCAUGUGCUAGACCCAUCCACUUAGCUAUAAUUUAUUGAAAGUGAUCUUAUCACUUAAAUAAAUUAUUUAAUCAAAUUAAUAAAUAGCUAAAUUAAUUAAUUUCGUAAUUAAUUAAUUAACCCCAUUUUGAUCAAAUCAAAUGGUUAAAUGUGGGCUCAUUUUGUGACAUGUUCUAAUGCUUUCUCUUAAUCCAUAUUAGAUCCAAUAAAAGCCCAAAAUUCUAAACCCAAAAAUGGUCUAGAAGUCCAUAAUCAUAUAUGAACCCGAACAUGUCCAAAAUGGUCAUUUUACGUGCUCGAUAUUACAUAAUGUUUAAUGGAGGAUUUACGAAAUUUAUUUUGUUCCUUAAACUAUUUAUGGAACAUCUAAAUUUCUAUCUUAAAUCAUAUUUAAGAUAUAUUUAUAUAUAUAUGUAUAUUCAUUCUCAAUGAAUUAUAAUAUAAAUAUUGAUUUUCCUAAAAAUAGGAAAUUUAACUUCUCAUUUUCUAGUAACUCCUUUUUCAUUUCUAUUUAAUGUGUGACCUUUUAGGUUCUUAGUUAUAAGGUAGUAGAACUAUUUUAAUGAUAACUCUUUAUUCAUUAAAUGAUGCUAAACUCUUUAGUCAUCAAUUAGAACUCUUCUAAUGACCUUAAGAUGCAUUGAUAAUACGCUUUACCAAUAUUGAUCUUAAGGUUUCUACAAGUCAUGAGUGACACCUAGCAGUAUAUCACAACUAUCCAAAUAACAAGAAUUGUUGGAUCUAUAGAACCUAUUCCAUUGUACCUCUAUGUCUUGGUCUCUUCAUCAUCCAUGUCCAAAGAAAAGCACGGCUUAUGGUUUAUUAUGUUAAGCACUUAUGCUUUAUCUCAAAACAAAUCUAAAUGAACUUGACAUGAAAAUAUAAUUUGAACUCCUUCAAAUAUAUUUCACCUUGGCCAAGGAUUUCUCAUGCCAAUUCAUAUUAUCUCAUAGGGACAUCCUUUUUGUAUAUUACAAAGUGAUGAAUUCCAUAUUGGCCAUGCACUAGUCUUCAUACAUAUCCAACCAUGACAGUUAUUGCUAGAUCUCUUCCGUGAUUAGGAAUCAAUCAUUAUGCAUUCACAUAUCAGAGAUGUCUAUGUAUAAGACAUCUGUUAUGCCUCAGGUCUAAAAACCAUUACUAAACAUAGUGUUUAAUACAAUGUAUAAUAAGCCAUUAACACUCAAGACCAUAUAGCUUACUAUAUUUGGUCAAGUUUAGUAAACUUGUUCUCUCAACAAGUAUCUAUGUGUUUGACUUGACAUCUCAUGUCAAUGAUAUGAAACUCACCAUCUAUUUUAGUAUCACAUACCAUAAGGAGUCAUAACACAUACUAGUGUUUAUAGAAAUUUAUAAUGUCCAAUCAUAAAUCCACCACUAGGAACUAUUUUAGAAGUAUAGUACAAAGGAUACACGUUUCAUAUUCUCGACAAACUCGAGAAUGUGUUCCUUAACUAUUUUACAUCUUGGACUAUAUUCAUUAAAUUAAUUAAUGAAUAUUGAUAACUUUGCCAUUUUAUAAAUAUCAAAAUGCUAUUCAAAUACGAUAAUUCCCUAAACAAACAAACACCAUUUGAUUGGCCUUUAGGGCAUAUUACUAACAAUCUCCCACUUGCACUAAAGCCAAUCGCUAUGGUAUCUCAUACCCAUCUUCUCAAGAUGACGAUCUAACUCUUGUUGAGUAAGUGCUUUAGUCAGAGGAUCCGCAGUGUUAUCAGCGGAGGCUACUUUCUGCAUAGUGAUAUCACUCCUUCCAAUGAUUUCUUUGAUAAUGUGAUAUCUUUUUUCUAUGUGUUUGGACUUCUAGUGAGACCUUGGUUCCUUAGCUUGUGCUAUAGCUCCAUUGUUGUCACAAUAUAAAGAGAUUGACAACGCAAUGGUUGGAACCACUUCAAGUUGUUGAAUAAACUUCCGUGUCCAAACAGCUUCUUUUGCUGCAUCUGAUGCAACUAUAUAUUUCGCUUCAGUGGUAGAAUCUGCAGUAAUUGUUUGCUUAGAACUUUUCCAGCUUACUGCUCCACCAUUGAUAGUGAAUAAAAUCCUGAUGUAGAUUUUCUAUCAUCUACAUCUGACUGGAAAUCUGAAUAUGUGAAGCCUUCAAUUUUUAGCUUACUUUCUCCAUAUGUUAAGAACAAAUCUUUAGUUCUUCUGAAGUACUUAAAGAUAUUCUUAACUGCGGUCCAAUAUUCCUCACCCGGAUUACUCUGGUAUCUGCUAGUGACACUCACUGCAUUGAGCUAUAUCCGGUCUAGUACAUAGCAUAGCAUACAUAAGACUUCCAAUUGCAGAAGCAUAUGGAAUCUUAUUCAUUCGCUCUAUCUCAUCAUAAGUUUUAGGACUCAUGCUUUUAGAGAGAUGAAUUCCAUGUCUGAAGGGUAUAAAACCCCUUUUGGAAUCCCACAUAUUAAAUUUCUUUAAUAUCUUUUCUAUGUACUUAGCUUGACAUAGACCUAUUAAUUUUCUGGAUCUAUCUCUAUAAAUCCUGAUUCCCAAGAUAUACAUUGCAUCUCCUAGGUCUUUCAUGGAGAAGUUUUGAGAAAGCCAAAUUUUGACAGAAGACAUUUGUCCAAUGUCAUUUCCUAUAAGUAAUAUGUCAUCUACAUAUAGCACAAGGAAAGAUAUUGCACUCCCACUAACCCUUUUGUAAACACAUGGUUCAUCCUCAUUCUUGAUGAAACCAAAUGAUUUGAUUGCAUCAUCAAAUCGGAUGUUCCAGCUCCUGGAGGCUUGUUUUAGCCCAUAAAUGGACUUUCUUAGCUUGCAUACUUUAUGAGGAUUUGUCUUAGAUUCAAAACCACAAGGUUGUAUCAUAUAGAUAUCUUCCUCAAUGUACCCAUUAAGAAAUGCAGUUUUGACAUCCAUUUGCCAAAUCUCAUAGUCAUAAUAUGCUGCUAUAGCCAAUAAGAUUCUGAUGGACUUUAGCAUGGCUACUGUUGAAAAGGUUUCCUCAUAGUCGAUACUUUGUAUUUGACGAUAACCUUUAGCUACCAACCUUGCUUUAUAGGUCUCUACCUUUCCAUCUAAGCCGAUCUUCCUCUUGAAGAUCCACUUGCAUCCAAUAGGUAUAAUACCUUCGGGUGGAUCCACUAGAGUCCAGACUUGAUUGGUUCUCAUAGAGUCCAUCUCUAAAUCCAUGGCUUCAAGCCAUUUCUUAGAGUCAAUAUCUGAUAUUGCCUCUUCGUAACUAGUAGGAUCAUCUCUAUGAUUUGUAUCACCCAAUAAAAAAUAUAUCGUUCAUCUGAUGAAGAAAACCAUAUCUUUCUGGUGGGUGAAUUAUUCUAUUAGAUCUACGGAGCUGCUGUGUUCCUUGUGUUUGUACUUGAACAAGUUCUUCAUUGGAUUUAUCCUCAUUAGAAUUCUCAAUAAAUUCUAUUUUUCUUCCUUGUCCACCUUCUUGAAUAAACUCUUUUUCAAGAAAUAUGACAUUUCUACUGACCAAUACCCUUUGAUCAGAUUGGAUGUAAAAGUAAUAACCCAAAGUUUCCUUUGGGUAUCCAAUGAACCUCCCACUAUCCGCUUUAGCUUCAAGUUUCUCACUCUUGAGUCUCUUGAUAAAAGCAGGACAUCCCCAAAUCCUAAGAUGAUUUAGGCUUGGUUGUUUACCAUACCACAUCUCAUACGGUAUUUUAGGUACAGACUUGGAAGGUACUCUGUUUAGUACAUAUGUUGCAGUAAGGAGAGCAUAUCCCAAAGAGAAAUUGGUAAGUCUAUAUAACUCACCAUUUAUCGCACCAUGUCUAACAGUGUGCGAUUUCUCCUCUCAGAUACUCCAUUAAGCUCUGGUGUACCUGGAGGUGUCCAUUGUGAAACAAUACCAUUUUCUUUAAGGUAAGACUGGAAUUCUCCACUGAGAUAUUCACCACCUCGAUCUGAUCGUAGGGUUUUAAUAACUUUUCCAGUCUGUUUCUCUACUUCAUUUCGGUAUUCUUUGAACUUUUCAAAGGCUUCAGAUUUAUAUUUCAUUAAGUAUACUGAACUAUACCUUGAGUGAUCGUCGAUAAAAGUUAUGAAGUAGUAAUAUCCACCCCUUGCCAUUUCAUUAAAUGGUCCACAUACAUCAGUAUGUAUAAGUUCAAGUAAAUCAGUGGCCCUUGUACUUCGUCCAACGAAGGGUGCCCUGGUCAUUUUUCCUUGAAGGCAUGAUUCACAAGUUGGAUAAGGUUCUAAACCAAAUGGACCUAUUAGUCCAUCUUUAGCCAAUUUUGUGACUCUAUCUUCUCCAAUAUGACCUAGCCUUAAAUGCCACUUAUAUUUGGGGCUUAUUUCUUCUCUUUCACGUUUAUGUGUUAUGGUAUUUACAUUCACAACAUGCUCAUUAUUUUCUUUCAUGUUUAGUACAUAUAGAUCAUUAUCUAAAGUACCAUGUGCAACAUAUUUAUUCUCAUGAUAAAUAUUACAAAUUUUAUUUCUGAAAUAAAAUUCAUAAUUGUCUUUGCAUAAACAUGAAAUUGAAACUAUGUUCCUUACAGCAGAAGGAACAAAUAAACAAUCAUUCAAACUUAUUACAUGCCCAGAUGUCAUUUUUAAGAAAAAUGUCCCUAUAGCUGAGGCAGCAACUAUUGCUCCAUUUCCCACUCUAAGAGACACUUCUCCUUGUUUAAGUCUUCUACUUCUUUUCAGAUCCUGCAUUGACAUACAAAUAUGUGCGGUCGCAGCAGAAUCUAAAAUCCAAGAAGUAGAAUGAAUGAUUGAAAUAUUAGUUUCAAUAAUGAGCAUACCUUCAGAAGGAUUCUCUUUAGGCUUGACUUUCAAGCUGUUGAGGUAAGAUUUGCAAUUCCUCUUCCAAUGCCCAUUCUUACCGCAAUGGAAACAUUUUCCCUUGUCAUUGGGCUUAUUAGCUUUCCCCUUCUUAAUCCCACCUUUAGCCUUGGGUUGAAACUUUUUCUUUUUACCCUUUUUAGUUGAGGGCCCUUCUAUAGCCAUAACAUCUUUUGGCUUCUUUAUGCAAGUUUCAGCAGUAUUAAGCAUCUUUAGCAGUUCAGCAAGACUGCACUCCAUUUUAUUCAUGUUAAAAUUCAUGAUAAAUUGAGAGCAUGAGUCUGGCAAGGACUGUAGGAUAAGGUCGAUAGCUAAUUCCCCAUCCAUUGAGAAAUUAAGAGCUUCCAGCUGCUCUAUGUAGUCAAUCAUUUUGAGUACAUGAUCAUUGACCGAUCCUUCAGUCAUUCUCAUUCUGAACAGUUUCUUAGAUAUCUCAUACCUAACUGUUCUGCUUUGUUCACCAUACAACUCUUGUAAAUGAAGUAUCAUGGAACUUGCAUCAGGCAUAUUUUCAUGUUGCCUUUGUAGUUCAUUGGACAUCGAUGCCAAUAUAUAGCUUUUAGCACUUAGGUCAUCAUCUUGCCACUUCUGAUAAGUGACACGAUCUGCCUCACUUGCUCCCUCAGGAAUUUCAUUUAGAUUAGAUGUAUCAAGAACAUAGCUAAUUCUCUCAUAAUUAAGAACAAUUCUUAAAUUUCUGAACAAAUCAACGUAAUUAGGUCCCGUCAAACGGUAGUUUUCCAGAAUUCGUGCUAACAGAUUAUUCAUUAUUAAGUAUUUCUGCAGAAAGUAUAAAUUAAAUUAUUAGCAUUUUAUUUUAUUAUAAUCUAUUUGAUUUUGGUCUUUAAACCAAAUAGUGCCUCCUGUUGAGUGUUAGAAAAUGCAUAUUUAUAAAGGAGAAAACCGUCAUUUUACAUUUCAAGUCUUAUUAACAACCCUUACUUUUAUGUAUUUAACAUUCUUGUGAUUUAAUUACAUGUGUUUAUUUUAAUUAAGUAAUUUAUGUAUUUUAGGGGCAUUAUAGUCAUUUCACAAUAAAAGAGAGAUCAGACGGCAAAACGGACAUCACUUUUGAACUCAGGACGGUCGAAAACCUUAGGAGGAGCAUAAAAGGAAAAAUGACACUAUUCACAUGUACGGUACUAUUCACGGGUACGGUAUUGUCUACGUUACUGUUCACGACAAUGUUCACAUAGACGGAUCAAUGACGUGGCAUUGAUUGAUGACGUGGCAUUGACUGAUGAGGUGUCACGAUCCUGUUGGACUAAAAUUCUUAUAUACUGUUGAUGGUGACGUGGCAGCAUAUUAGUGGACGAAAAAUCUCGCGUACGGUGCAUGCAUCACACAGGAUUAUUUUCAACCAAACCGCGUUACUGUUCAUCCGGGUCAAACCGUGUUACUGUUCAUCCGCGUGGUCAAACCGUGGACUCUUGACUGAUGACGUGGCGCAAUCUUGAGCGUCCAAACUGUUUUUAAUCCGAUGGCCAUGAUUUACUCCAUGUAUCUAUAAAAAGGGGGCCUCUCCCCCCUAAUUUGAUAUCUCUGAAUCCAUUUUUGGGAUCCAUUUUCUGUAAUUCCUUCUCCAUCUUGUAUUUUCUUCAUAUUUUAAUAAAUUUCCAUUUUGCCCCUAGUUCAAUUAUGAGUGGCUAAUUUUCUUUCAAGCUUGGGUUGAAGGUGAAGUCUCAACAUGUGUCAUGGGCUUUAUUUGGUAAAUUUAUUUUCUCUUCCCCUCUAGUUUUUGUGGAUGUUUUGACUUCUCGUCGACAAAUAAUACUAAUCUUGUCUAGUACCGCCUUGGUUUCACCGGCCUUCUAGUACAAGGUUAUUAUUAUUUGGCACGAUAAGCCCUUAGCACCAUAUUGAUUAGAGCGUGGUUCAUGAGGUGUGGAUUCCCCCUUCAUGAUUUAAUUGGCAUUAAUACGGAUUAUAUAGCCCAUGAUGCAUGUUGAUACGGAUCCAGAUACCCAAGUACGUCAAUUUAAUAGAUUUCAUUUUCAAGUUAUUCUUGCCAUUUCAAUUCCAAUUUUAGAAUUUAUUCUCGCCAUUUUAAUUUAAGUUUUAGCAUAUUCCAAAUCAUUUCAACCACAAAUCCCACCACCCAUUUCCAAAAUUAAUUCUACACAUAAUUAAAAUCCACCUCCUCGUGGGAUCGACACUCGUCACCAUUAGUCUAUACUACAAUAGAUUCGUGCGCUUGCGAGUACAUUAAAAUUUGCACAACACGUCCCACUAUUUUAUCAUUUCCUUACACUCCCAUAUGUAAGAAACGGAAACUCUCAUUGGUAAAAGUUUCUAGUAGGAAUCAGAUUCUCAUUAGCCUAAGUUUACCUCACCUAACAGUUCUUGGCUUACUUAUUAUAAUGAGUAGGUAACUCUUACCAAAUGCAUCUCAUGCAUGUACCGAUUAUCCUUCGGCCUCUAAAUCAUUAAUACCUCACCUGACAGUUCUUAGUAUAAAUGAUUUAGUUAAGUUUACCCUAAUACCCUUGCAUAUUUUCAUAACGUCUUACUAACUUCACCUAACAGUUCUUGGUAGCUUAAUGUAUGAAUUACGCAUCAUCGCAUGAUAUAUGGUUUAUUUUCAACAUUUUAAUGAAUGAGUAGCCCAUGUAUCUAUGACAACUAGCCCAAGCAUAAAAUAUUUUAAAUAUUCCAUUGGUAUUAGUAGGCCAUGAUGGAUAUUCUCAAUAUUCAUCAUUACAACUUAACAAUAAUUAUGUUUAUUUAAUUAGGGAGUAUUUGGUCAUUAUUAUGGUCUCACUUUUUAGCAUGUUAUUCCAUUUUCAAUAUUCAAAUAUGUCUAAGCACCCUAAUAUACAUCUCAUGCAUAUUAUAGACAAGCCAACUAAGGAUGAUCAUGGAAUUUUCUAAUAAAACCAAUUUGAGCCAAAAUUAGUUUUAAGGUCCACCUAGGUAUCAAGCAAACAAUAAUAAUUAUGAGACAUCCCAUGCCUCAAAUUAUCAAGCAAACAAUAAUGAUUAUGAGACAUCUUAUGCCUCAAAUUAUUACAAUUAUUAAUUUCUAUUUGAAUGGCCAAAAUAUCAUUGGAAGUGAUGCAACGAUCCACAAAGACUUCUUACUCCAACCUCCAAGGCAUCGCAACGUCCCUCCUUUGACAAUCAUCUUGUAGAAAUUACAUAUUUAGAAGAAUUGGAGUACAAAUUUAGGGGUAAUGGGAUACAAUCAGAUCUUAAUAGAAGGAGAGACAUGCAAGUCCCUAUUUAAAAAUAUAACAACCAUUUAAGCCUUUAGAAAUCGGCCAAAUCAACAAAUAAAUCAAUAGAUCAUUCAAUCACACAUAUAUUCAUUCAUCACAUGACAUAAAUAUAUCAUAAAAUAUCUAGGUCUUUCCAUGAUCGUCCUUCAUGCUAUUAUAAAUGGAAAUAACAUAAAUCAUGCUUCAAAAAUGCGAAAUUGAAUGAAGAUGGCUCUGAUACCACUUGAAGGACAACAUUUGUCCAUGAGGUUCCUAAAAUCGCAACUUUUGUGCAGUAAUAUUAAAACGGACGGCGGAAGCUCUAGAAACCUCGGAUCGGCUUCAUUCAAAAACGAAAAUCAAGAGGAAAGAUUGAAGUUUAAUUACCUCACUUGAAGUUUCGAAAAAGACUUCUUGAGGUAGGAGAAAACGACUGAAAACAGCAAGCUACGAACACUGUCCAGAAAAUACAGCUCUGCACGAACAGCUUCUGUUUUGCCACGAUCUGAGAUCCUUAAGCACCCCAAUUGUGAUGCCUCUAAUUAUUCCACACUUAGAAAUGUUCUAGGAGUUCAGAGGAUUUGGAAUCACGAAAUUUCGUUUAGAAAUGAGAGAGAUAAUGAUGAAACAUGAAUGCUAGUCCAUGAUGAUUCCCCUUCCACCAAAUAAAGCACCAUUAUGUCUAAUAAUGGCACCAAACAUUAUCAUGUGCUAGACCCACCCACUUAGCUAUAAUUUAUUGAAAGUGAUCUUAUCACUUAAAUAAAUUAUUUAAUCAAAUUAAUAAAUAGCUAAAUUAAUUAAUUUCGUAAUUAAUUAAUUAACCCCAUUUUGAUCAAAUCAAAUGGUUAAAUGUGGGCUCAUUUUGUGACAUGUUCUAAUGCUUUCUCUUAAUCCAUAUUAGAUCCAAUAAAAGCCCAAAAUUAUAAACCCAAAAAUGGUCUAGAAGUCCAUAAUCAUAUAUGAACCCGAACAUGUCCAAAAUGGUCAUUUUACGUGCUCGAUAUUACAUAAUGUUUAAUGGAGGAUUUACGAAAUUUAUUUUGUUCCUUAAACUAUUUAUGGAACAUCUAAAUUUCUAUCUUAAAUCAUAUUUAAGAUAUAUUUAUAUAUAUAUGUAUAUUCAUUCUCAAUGAAUUAUAAUAUAAAUAUUGAUUUUCCUAAAAAUAGGAAAUUUAACUUCUCAUUUUCUAGUAACUCCUUUUUCAUUUCUAUUUAAUGUGUGACCUUUUAGGUUCUUAGUUAUAAGGUAGUAGAACUAUUUUAAUGAUAACUCUUUAUUCAUUAAAUGAUGCUAAACUCUUUAGUCAUCAAUUAGAACUCUUCUAAUGACCUUAAGAUGCAUUGAUAAUACGCUUUACCAAUAUUGAUCUUAAGGUUUCUACAAGUCAUGAGUGACACCUAGCAGUAUAUCACAACCAUCCAAAUAACAAGAAUUGUUGGAUCUAUAGAACCUAUUCCAUUGUGUCUCUAUGUCUUGGUCUCUUCAUCAUCCAUGUCCAAAGAAAAGCACGGCUUAUGGUUUAUUAUGUUAAGCACUUAUGCUUUAUCUCAAAACAAAUCUAAAUGAACUUGACAUGAAAAUAUAAUUUGAACUCCUUCAAAUAUAUUUCACCUUGGCCAAGGAUUUCUCAUGCCAAUUCAUAUUAUCUUAUAGGGACAUCCUUUUUGUAUAUUACAAAGUGAUGAAUUCCAUAUUGGCCAUGCACUAGUCUUCAUACAUAUCCAACCAUGACAGUUAUUGCUAGAUCUCUUCCGUGAUUAGGAAUCAAUCAUUAUGCAUUCACAUAUCAGAGAUGUCUAUGUAUAAGACAUCUGUUAUGCCUCAGGUCUAAAGACCAUUACUAAACAUAGUGUCUAAUACAAUGUAUAAUAAGCCAUUAACACUCAAGACCAUAUGGCUUACUAUAUUUGGUCAAGUUCAGUAAACUUGUUCUCUCAACAAGUACCUAUGUGUUUGACUUGACAUCUCAUGUCAAUGAUAUGAAACUCACCAUCCAUUUUAGUAUCACAUACCAUAAGAAGUCAUAACACAUACUAGUGUUUAUAGGAAUUUAUAAUGUCCAAUCAUAAAUCCACCACUAGGAACUAUUUUAGAAGUAUAGUACAAAGGAUACACGUUUCAUAUUCUCGACAAACUCGAGAAUGUGUUCCUUAACUAUUUUACAUCUUGGACUAUAUUCAUUAAAUUAAUUAAUGAAUAUUGAUAACUUUGCCAUUUUAUAAAUAUCAAAAUGCUAUUCAAAUACGAUAAUUCCCUAAACAAACAAACACCAUUUGAUUGGCCUUUAGGGCAUAUUACUAACAAUAGCUGCUGCGUUGAUUUCUAAUGCGGUGGAGUAAUCGUCGUUAGAAUCUGAAUGAUAUGUCUAAGACGUUGCAUGCAUCAAGAAAAUUGCAGACGAUUAAACCUUGCCAUCUAUGCGUUGUAUGAGGUUAUAGCAACUAUCUAUCUGGUCACCGUUUUAAAAGAAUAAGACAAAGGGAAAAAGAGAAAGAAAAGAAUGAUUCGACAAUGGCAUUAAAGUUCAACAUACCCCAAGAUCUUGUAAUAAUGCCAUUAAUCAUUCUCUAGCUAGGCUAGCCUUAGAGAAAAGUGAAACUGUUGCACAGGUAGAAUCAAACCCCUCAGAGAUAUGAUGAGUUCGUGAUGCUUGCAUUUUAUUGAUGCUGAUGAUUCGUUGAAUGUUUUAUGUUUUUGAUUUUUAAGUAUUCCGGAUCGAAGUUUGUGUCUACGCGGAAAUUGUAAAGGCAGCAUAUAAAGUACUCGUCGUUCUUUAGAUUUUAUUGAGUACACUUUUGUCACAUUUAGCGUAUGCUAUACACUACUGAUUUGCGCAUUGACAUAUAUCUUAUUUUAUCAUUUUGAAUGAAUUACACGGCGAGGCUUAUCAACUUUGGAUGAAUCCUCCAAUUGUCACAGUCCAAGACUGGCUGCAGUGAGUGAAAAUUUACCCAUAUAUAUGCUGGCUAUUUUUAUUGGCGACGAAUUCGUUGUAGUUGGUCCAUCUUGCUAUUCUCGGACAAUAUUAGAGAAAAUAAUCAUAUUAUUUCGCGUGAUGUGACCUUCCAUAACUUAUCAAUUGAAUUACUGUAAAAUUAUUGUGUAAGUUUAGGCCCAAUGGCACUUUAGUUCAUCACAUGAUAGCCUGGAUUUAAAAGGAAAACUAUAUUGCAUUGCUUCAAAAAAAAAAUUUAAUGUUUUUAAUAUGAAUAUUUUUAACUAUAUUCAGUUAAAAUAAUAUAUUCUUAAUAUUAAUAUUCAUAGAUGAAAUUCUUUUGCGGAUUUAAGAAUAAAAUAUCAAAUAGUUUUAUUUUUCUUUUGUUGUGUAACUCGGACCGAAAAAGACAAUGAGCUUAACAUGACCCUCCUUCCGGCACUAUGCAUGUUUUUCUUAUAUUAAUGACAGUGCUCUUGGUGCUUCUCAUCUGCUUCUUGCUUUGGUUUCAAACAAGUCUUUCUCCGUCGAGACAUUUAUUGUAAUUUGAUUUGGAGACAUCUGUCGUUCAAAUAUAUUUCAUAUGCAAGCCGUUGAUAAUUCUGCUUGAGAAAGCCUACAAAGCAGCUGUGUGAUGUAAUAGAAGACUAUAUAUGCAAACGGUCAUCAGUUUCUCUUGAAUUCUUUCUUGAGUUUCUUUGAAUUAUUUGUGAAUGAGUUCUUAAUCGGCUGCUGCUCUUCAGGAAAAGGAAAGUGUUGCAAACUGGUGAAGCUGAUCGAUAAAAGCAAUGUACCAUCUUUGCUGGCAUGGAUCGAUGCCAGUGAGUUUUUUUAUUUGUCAACCUUUUUAAUAAUGCAUAUGUUUUUCUUCAACUUGAAGCGGCAUAUAAGACGAAAGAAGUGAUCUUUAAAGCAUUCUAUGGCAUUAUCCUUUCCUAUUAUAUAUAUCCAAUUGCUCCAAAUUAUUUGUAAAUUACUGAACACGAAUGCUGGUGAAUAAACUGAUGGCUCUAUGUAUGUAUGCACAUGCAUGGAGAAAUUUUAAGUCAGACAUUCUCAUAUAUAACUCGUGCUACCAAAUCAUUAAAUAAUCUUGAAAUCAAAGUAAUAAUUAAAUACAAAUAAAUUGCUCGAAUUGUACAUAUAUCUGAAUCAUGUAGUGAAGAAAAUACAACAACAACAACCAAUGGCUCAAAUUCCCCAUCAACUUCUAGUCUCAACACUUUUGAGUGUCAGAAGCAUUACUCUGCUACCAGUUAACAAACAUAUAAUUAGUAAUUAGCUAUUCACUUCCCUUUUAGGCCUACCACAUUUUCUACAAAGAAGCCAUAGAGAAUCAGCAGGAAACACUCAAUUUCAACCUAUGUAGGACCAGGAAUUUCAACCAAAAAAAAAAAAAGUGUGCAAUUGCUUAUCCUAUCCUAUUGCUACUAGAAAGAAAGUGAACAAUUAAUUUCAGUGAAUAAAUUAAAAAAAAAAUUACUUCUGCAGAUACUCAAGCUAAGAACACAUUAACCCAUUAAAGACUCCAAAUUGCAUCAAACAAAUUGUUGUUAAACAAGUAAAACAAAGAAAGAGAGUUAAGGAAGCUGACCUAGUAGUAGGGGAGCUGAAGAAAGACUGCCAGUGAAUGUAAGAGAAAAUAAAAUGCAAGAAAUGGUGAAGUGCAGCUUUUCAUGUCAACUUGAAAAUGAUUUUUCUGUUUUUUUUUUUUUUUUUUUUUUGUAAUCUUUUGGAUUUUUCAAACAAAGAAAAUGAGGAGCAACCAGGGAGAUAAAAAGGGCGCCAAGGCAACUGUGUGUUGGGUUUAGAGCCAAAAAAAAAAAAAAAGAAUAAGACAUCGUGUUCUUGUGGAGACCAGACCUAUUACGUAACGUCCCCUUCAAUACCACUUGUUCCGUAUCUGGUUUUUUCUUCGUCUUUUACAUAUUUAUCCUGUGAUUUUACAAUAACUAAAUAAUCCCCCCAUAGUUUGCAAUUUUAUUCAUUUGAGCCCUACAGAUUUCAGUAAUAGGAAUUAUUAAGGGACAAGAGCGCAAAACAGAAACUCUGUCCACUACUGAUGAUAUAACAACGAACCUUUGUUUUUUUCUUUUUCUUUUUUUAAAAAAAGAGUAACAAAAUAUCAUUAGACAAAUGAAAAUAUUAUCUAACAUCACCCUACUGAUGAUAUAACAACGAACCUUUGUAGUUUCUGCCUGUUAAUAUGAAUUGAUCGGGAGUGUUUCCUCAAUUAAAAAUUACGAAUUUACAAAAUAUGUAUGUAUGUACGUACGUAUAUAUGUAUGUACAUAUAUGCAUACACCUAUGUAACAUUUACUUAUCCAUUCUUUUGAGUUUAAAACUUAAUACACAUUUUCAUGAAAUUUUUUAUUUUAUUAAGUAUACAACUACAUUAAUGUAUAUAUUUUUUAUAUAAGACAUGCCGUCCUAUUAUUCGUAAGUAAAACAAUGUGUUGUGAAUAGUAUUCCGUGUUUUCUCAAAGUUGACUUUUCGUCUUUUAUUUUCAGACGCAGACGAUAUGUCAUUUUGUAAUCUUCCAAACAUAUACAGAGCUGAAUUGGUGUUAUCUGAUUUUGUGAUGCAAUGAUAUUUGCACUUCCUGUGCACUCAAUGGAAUCAUUUCUUUGUAACUAAUUGGGUGGUGGAAUCUAUCAAACUCCAGAAACAGGGAAACCAUGCCACGCUAGUAGACAAUAUGCUAGUUUUAACAAACUUGUUUGAAUGGCAAAAACGACAUGACCUGCUGUAGUAUUAGUUCUUUCCCGAACCAACGGGUGAUUUGCUACGUUGGAUCAUGAAAAUUGAAAAAAAAAAUUAACCAAAAUAAAAAUUCUUAAGGAAUUAGUUAGUUAAUUGAUUGAUCGAAUUUAAUCUAAAUUUGAAAAUGAUAAGAUAAAUUUAAAUUUAUUAUUAUUAUUAUUAUUUUAAAGUGGGUGGGUUUAUACAAUUUGAGCGGUGGAAAUAUCACUGCUGAAUUAUUAAAUAUACAGUGUAAAAUUUUGACCUUUAAAAUAUUCCCUUUUUUUUUAUUAUUUAGAACUAUAAGUUUAAAAAUUUAACAUUUUACCUCAAUAAUUAAAUACUUUUAACUUUAAUCUUCAAAUAUUUACCCUACAACAUUUGGACCUAAAUUUUUAAUCCGACUCGGCCCCUGACCCAAGUGGGAAGAAGAUCAGGCUUAUAAGUUAUAACUAUCACCAACAUAACAUCUUCUGGAAAAUAAUAAGAUUACUCACCUGCAAUUAUGUGAUCAAACUAAUGGUAAGCAAAAUAGAACAGCGUUAUUUCAGCCCCCUUUCAGUUUCUUUAUCAUUUUUCUUUUCCUAUUUAUAAGCUGAAUUCGGUUCAAAAUCGGCUAAUUCACUUUGAUUUCACUUUUCUUUCUUUCGGUUCAAAAAAAUUGAACCCAUUGGCUGUCAAUUCAAUUUUGUUGAAAACCAACUUUGCCUGAAUUUAAGUAAUAAUAGAGGAAAAAAACAAAAGAGUACUUAGCAGAAGAGAUUUCUCAUUUUUUUCUCAUUCAAACUUCUAAAAUAAAGGAAAAAAAAACAAGAGUAAUUGUUAAUUAUCAAAAUUUUGUUUAUACUAUUCCACCAAGAAAAUUAUAAAAAAAAAAUUUUAAAAAUUGGAGAAGAAAUAUGAGGUGAAAUACGUGGAUGGCUUAGACUAAUAAUGUGAACAAAUUCCUCUCGGAAACAUGUCAUUGUUCAUCCGGACAACACGCGGCGAUGAGAUUCAAGAAUGAAAGGAUAGGAAUCAACUGUAACCUCAUAAACAAAUGGGCUUGGAGUUGUAAACACCAAGCUCGGCAGAUUAAUUAAACAAAAAUAUCCGAAUUUUCUAUGAUAAUCUCUAGGAAACGAUCAGCUAUAAUGUACGAAAUUAAAAUAUUGCAUAUAUUUUUGAAUUUUUGAACUCAUGCAUUAAUUUCAAAAAUUAUAUCGUAUUAUAAUUUAUUCACAAAAGAAAGAAAAAUUCACUAAUCAAGUGAAAUCGUAUUCUUAUUGAAAUGAAUUCCAGUAAUUGGAUAAAUAUAAGUAUUUCUUCCAUUGUAAUUUUUGUUUAAUAGAAAAUCUAUUUGAGAUUUUGUGAGAAGAAACUCAACAAUAAAGUUUGAUAGACUUUGUGGAUAUUAAGAGUUUGACAAGUAAUUGAAAUCUGAAGUUUACUGAAGUUUACGAGCAAACAAACUGAAAUCCAAAGUUUACUGAAGUUUACUAUCAAGAGUUUCAAAACAGUGAAAAAGAUGAUAUAGUUGAUGACAGAAACCUGAGUUAUCCAUAGCGACAAGUAACAUACUGAAGUAAGCCGUUGGGAGCUGGCCUGUUCAUGGGCUAUUUUUCUCUGAUGAUCUGCAUUUUUCUUCCUUUUAAGUGAACCUUGACUCGUAUCAAACCUGUCAAAAGAACAGUUCAUCAACUGAGCUGAGAUUUGCUUUCCUUUUUCAAAACCCACCUGAGAUAUUGUAAUUCCCAAAUUUCUCUCUCUCAGCUACACGAGCAAGCAGCCGCUUUUUCACUUCAUCGAAGAAGGUAAGCGAUAUAUCUAUUUCGUCCGAUUGAUUUCUUGUUUCCUUUUCAGUGUUCGGGUAAAUUAUUGGCAUGCCUGACUUUUUGACCAUUACAUGAUUCAUAAAUUUAUAUUAAUUUUGAUUUUGAGUUGACCGGUUACUUUUAUAGGUUUGCUUACUUUGACUAGGUGACCAAUUUCUUGUAACUAAAUUUAUGACGUGAUGCAGGAAGCUGGGCAGGAUAUGAAAUGAGAAUCUUAUUAGUGGAAGGAUUGCCAGUAACAGAACCCAAAGAAAAUGAAACCAUUUCAAGGCAGCAGUUGGCAGUUGGGAGUGAAUGGAGGCCCCUGACAAAACUUCAGUAAACUUCAGAUUUCAGUUUGUUUGCUCGAAACUUGCAUGGUGACAAGGAUACUGACAAGGAUAAUGAGAUAGUUUUUGUGUGAAUGAAAUUACGACCAUCCUCAGCCUCAGGUAAUUUCUUCUCCUGCUUAGUUGUUAUUUGUUACCUAAUUAAGAAGCAUAAAGUAUCUUGAAUCAUUUUCGUUGUCUGGAAUAUAUGCAACAGUUUUUAAAAUUUUGAUAUCAGUGUAAUGAUUGUAAUUUCUGUUUUCUGUCUGUCAUCGAAUGUAAGGCAACUUUAUUAAGACUCUUGAACCGAGUCAUUUUUUACAAUUGAAGGACAAGUGCUGAAGAGUGGGAAUGCAAAAAUUUUUGUUGUUUUUAGCCUUGUUUUCUUUGAACCAGCGCCUGAUUCUCAAGACUCCAUUAAUUUGGCUUUUGAUCAGCUGAUUGAUAAAUGUUCAAUUUCUUUGGUGAUAAAUGUAUAUGUGAAGCAGGUAGCAGGGCAUGACUGUGGAAAAGAGAAGAUUUUAGUGAAAGCCGAGACUCAGAUAAUUCUACGCGUUUUGGCUGAUUUAUAUAAUUCGUGAAAUUUUAUUUCCGUCUGUUACAAGAUCAAACUGCAAUUAGCAAUUUAACAUUCCCUUAAAACCACUAGCUACAUUUCAUCUUUCCACAAUUACACUUAAAAUUCCACUAAAAGAAACUCUUGAGGUGCUCUGAUGAGCAUAUAAUAUAUACAUAUUUUACCCUUAAUUAAAUAAUUGCUAGUUAUAUUUAUUUGUUAUUUUUAAUUAAUUGAAUUAUUUUAUUGCAUAGAGAAUUAAUUGAAGAUUGGAAAUAAAAAGUGCAAAAAGAAUAACAAUUUAGGAGAAUAUUAGUUGAAGUCAUGACAGAGUUAAGAGCCAAGAGCAAUUUGCAUUGAAUUUUAAUUCUCCAAUUGAGUUGCACGUGCAUGGCAUUGCAAAAGUGGAAAGCAAUUUAAAUGGGGCCCACACUUGACUUUCAAAAGUGGAAUUAAUGGCUUAUGGUGGCGUUAUUAUGGAAGCUUUGUUUUAUAAUUGGAAAAGGAUUUUAAUUAGUAGACAAAGAGGAUUCGGUGGUUAAGCAUUAUAAAAAGAGCGUUUUGGCUUUUGAAUGAGGGGAGCCGCCAGAGGACGGAAACAAAAGGGCUGGAAGAGAGCAAUCGGUAGUAGCAAUAUUUCGGCUUCCAUGGCUGAUUUUAUUUCUUGUGUUGCUCUCAAUUUAAGUAUGUCUAGCUAAUUUUCUUAUGCUGAGGUUAAGGAUAAAACCCUAUUUAAUGAAAUAAUUAUCUUUUUAUUUAAUUAAUUCCUUAUAUAUGUUCUUUGAUGAUUAUGGUUUUUAUUUCACAUGAUUAAUUGGAUGUUAAUAAAAUCUUUUCAUCAAUUCUGUCAUGCAUUAUUGAUUGUUAGGAUUAAUAUUCGAUUAAUUCUAUACUUGGAUCUAUAAAGUUUAUACAUGAUUAUCUUUGAUUUUAUGUCUUUCAUUAAAUUGUUGACAUGGAGUGCUUAGGAAACUUUGACUCUUUGUUAUUCAAUAUGUUUACAUGAGAUUCUUAGAUGUCAUACUAUUAAGCAGAAAAAAACCUACAUAAGAUUAAUUUUAUUUGGGCUUAAUUGUUAUAUCCAUGAGAUGACAUAGAUAGAUUUCGAGUUGUCACUCUAAAAUUGGGGAUUAAUUAAUAAUUAGCUAAUUACUAGUUGAAUAGUGGUGGAUUCUGAAACCUUAGUAAUUUGUCUUAUUGAUUUCUCAUUUGCUUUAAUUGUUUUCUUAGUUUAAUUAGUUUAAUUUCUCUUAAAACUCAAUUUGCUCAACUAAGUUAGAAUUAAUAUUAAUUUUAGAUUUAAAUUAGACUUUUCAAUUUAUAACAAUCCCUGUGGGAUCGACCUCGUGCGCUUGCGAAUAUAUUAAAAUUUUCACAACAUGCUCGCAAGCUAUAUAUCAUUAUCCAUUGAAUUCUUACCACAUAUAUCUCACCUUUCAAUCAAUCACAUAAUAAUCAAUAUACAUAUUGUAAGAAUUCAACAAAUGGAGAACAUAAUAUACUAUAAAAGCAUCCAAAAUUUUUCCUUCUCAAAUUAUUACUAAACUUCUUGAACAAGUUGAAGAUUGGGGGGAAAAAGUGCAAGAAGGAAAAGCAUUAUUCUACUAGCUUCUAGAAAGCAAAAUACCUUCUGCUGAUUGCACAUUGGAAUGGGAAUAAGUUGGUAAACAUAUAAGUUACAUAAAUUAUUUUGGAUAAUUCUGCUGGUGAAUUAAUUAUCUUAAAAUCACCCUUUUAUUUUUAAAAAAAUCUUAAGUUAUUUUUCAUAUAUCUUAAGAAGACAAACAAACUUUCAUCGACUCUCCUUUUUUAGCUUUUCCCUUCAAUAAUGUUAGAAAUUCUAACAUUUGAGUCAUGCUUGAGCUUAAUACUAUAUAUCACUCAUUUAUUAGAUGUUGAAUUUUUUAAAUUAUAAAGUUAUUUGACUACCAUCCAAUGAAUGAAUGUCACGUCAUUUAAAACUCAAAGAAAAGUAUUCUACUUCUUGCGGCAAUCAUGCCUUCAUUCAGACUAUGAACCAUUUCCUUUCACCAAAUUCUUCAUAAACAUUGAGUAAGUUUCAUGGUUGGACAUAGUUAGCUUCUGUUUCUUUUGGUGCAUUUAGGUGCUAUCAAGUGACGGCCGUAAGUGUGAUUGCAUUAUUGGGAAAUUUUACGAUUUGAUGGUUCCCCACGUUAUUGCCAAGAAAGUUCUCAUGUCGGAAGCAGCGGUUCUUUUCAUCGGCCUGAACCCGAACCUGUCGCUAUGGAUAACUCAGGUUUUUG
RNAcentral lists this long non-coding RNA (39528 nucleotides) under Citrus maxima (pomelo). Its description in RNAcentral is "long non-coding RNA (CMAX_LNC001174)". The record is from RNAcentral. Lineage: Eukaryota; Viridiplantae; Streptophyta; Magnoliopsida; Sapindales; Rutaceae.